RNAcentral lists this ribosomal RNA (234 nucleotides) under uncultured bacterium. Its description in RNAcentral is "partial 16S ribosomal RNA". It matches the Rfam family "Bacterial small subunit ribosomal RNA", at positions 118 to 350 of the family's 1533-position model. The record is from RNAcentral.
UGGGUGAUCUGCCCUGCACUUUGGGAUAAGCCUGGGAAACUGGGUCUAAUACCGGAUAUACCCUGCUGGUCGCAUGGCCUGGUGGGGGAAAGCUUUUGCGGUGUGGGAUGGGCCCGCGGCCUAUCAGCUUGUCGGUGGGGUGAUGGCCUACAAGGCGACGACGGGUAGCCGGCCUGAGAGGGUGUCCGGCCACACUGGGACUGAGACACGGCCCAGACUCCGUACGGGGAGGCA